This 271-nucleotide long non-coding RNA is filed under the name Physcomitrium patens. Its description in RNAcentral is "long non-coding RNA (PPAT_LNC003929)". The record is from RNAcentral. Lineage: Eukaryota; Viridiplantae; Streptophyta; Bryopsida; Funariales; Funariaceae.
AAAGACAGCACACAAUCACUCCAUAAUCCAAUCACUGGAACCCUUCCCAUCCAACUGUCAUUCUCCCUACACUUCUUCACACAAAUUCAAACUCCAUAGUCUCCUCCUCCAAUCCCAAUAUUCAAUGCAUCAUAAUUCCCCCGUUCAUUACCAUUCUUCACAAUUACUUCCCAUCGUCCACUUCCACACAAGUAUUCAUCCCACAAAUAAAUUCAAAUACUUCCUUUGACAACAUCAAAUCUCUUUUUUCAUUCCAGAAUUUCACUUCACA